This 104-nucleotide small nucleolar RNA is filed under the name Suricata suricatta (meerkat). RNAcentral describes it as "Small nucleolar RNA U13 (ENSSSUG00005006210.1)". It matches the Rfam family "Small nucleolar RNA U13". The record is from Rfam by way of RNAcentral. Lineage: Eukaryota; Metazoa; Chordata; Mammalia; Carnivora; Herpestidae.
AUCCUUUUGUAGUUCAUAAGCGUGAUGAUUGGGUGUUCACGCCAUUGUGUGACAUGUGCCACCCUUAAACCUUGUUACAACGUCGGCACAUUACCCGUCUGACG